GUUGGCUAUUACCCUUAUACCCUGAACACAACAAAUCUCAGCUGAUUUCAGCAGCUAAGCAGGAUCAGGCCUGAUUAGCAUCUGGAUGGGAGGUUACCAAGGAACACCAGCCAUCCCUAGGU
RNAcentral lists this ribosomal RNA (122 nucleotides) under Pogona vitticeps (central bearded dragon). The record is from RNAcentral. Lineage: Eukaryota; Metazoa; Chordata; Lepidosauria; Squamata; Agamidae.